AUGAUAAGGGGUUCACCGAAUGGGGAAACCCAGUGUGAUUCGUCACACUAUCAUUAACUGAAUCCAUAGGUUAAUGAGGCGAACCGGGGGAACUGAAACAUCUAAGUACCCCGAGGAAAAGAAAUCAACCGAGAUUCCCCCAGUAGCGGCGAGCGAACGGGGAGGAGCCCAGAGCCUGAAUCAGCAUGUGUGUUAGUGGAAGCGUCUGGAAAGGCGCGCGAUACAGGGUGACAGCCCCGUACACAAAAGCGCAUGUGCUGUGAGCUCGAUGAGUAGGGCGGGACACGUGGUAUCCUGUCUGAAUAUGGGGGGACCAUCCUCCAAGGCUAAAUACUCCUGACUGACCGAUAGUGAACCAGUACCGUGAGGGAAAGGCGAAAAGAACCCCGGCGAGGGGAGUGAAAAAGAACCUGAAACCGUGUACGUACAAGCAGUGGGAGNNNNNNNNNNNNNNNNNNNNNNNNNNNNNNNNNNNNNNNNNNNNNNNNGGGCGUUAAGUUGCAGGGUAUAGACCCGAAACCCGGUGAUCUAGCCAUGGGCAGGUUGAAGGUUGGGUAACACUAACUGGAGGACCGAACCGACUAAUGUUGAAAAAUUAGCGGAUGACCUGUGGCUGGGGGUGAAAGGCCAAUCAAACCGGGAGAUAGCUGGUUCUCCCCGAAAGCUAUUUAGGUAGCGCCUCGUGAAUUCAUCUCCGGGGGUAGAGCACUGUUUCGGCUAGGGGGCCAUCCCGGCUUACCAACCCGAUGCAAACUGCGAAUACCGGAGAAUGUUAUCACGGGAGACACACGGCGGGUGCUAACGUCCGUCGUGAAGAGGGAAACAACCCAGACCGCCAGCUAAGGUCCCAAAGUCAUGGUUAAGUGGGAAACGAUGUGGGAAGGCCCAGACAGCCAGGAUGUUGGCUUAGAAGCAGCCAUCAUUUAAAGAAAGCGUAAUAGCUCACUGGUCGAGUCGGCCUGCGCGGAAGAUGUAACGGGGCUAAACCAUGCACCGAAGCUGCGGCAGCGANNNNNNNNNNNNNNNNNNNNNNNNNNNNNNNNNNNNNNNNNNNNNNNNNNNNUGCUGGAGGUAUCAGAAGUGCGAAUGCUGACAUAAGUAACGAUAAAGCGGGUGAAAAGCCCGCUCGCCGGAAGACCAAGGGUUCCUGUCCAACGUUAAUCGGGGCAGGGUGAGUCGACCCCUAAGGCGAGGCCGAAAGGCGUAGUCGAUGGGAAACGGGUUAAUAUUCCCGUACUUGGUGUUACUGCGAAGGGGGGACGGAGAAGGCUAUGUUGGCCGGGCGACGGUUGUCCCGGUUUAAGCGUGUAGGUGUGUGUUCCAGGUAAAUCCGGUUCACUUUAACACUGAGGCGUGACGACGAGGCACUACGGUGCUGAAGCAACAAAUGCCCUGCUUCCAGGAAAAGCCUCUAAGCAUCAGGUAACACGAAAUCGUACCCCAAACCGACACAGGUGGUCAGGUAGAGAAUACCAAGGCGCUUGAGAGAACUCGGGUGAAGGAACUAGGCAAAAUGGUGCCGUAACUUCGGGAGAAGGCACGCUGACACGUAGGUGAAGUGAUUUACUCAUGGAGCUGAAGUCAGUCGAAGAUACCAGCUGGCUGCAACUGUUUAUUAAAAACACAGCACUGUGCAAACACGAAAGUGGACGUAUACGGUGUGACGCCUGCCCGGUGCCGGAAGGUUAAUUGAUGGGGUCAGCGCAAGCGAAGCUCCUGAUCGAAGCCCCGGUAAACGGCGGCCGUAACUAUAACGGUCCUAAGGUAGCGAAAUUCCUUGUCGGGUAAGUUCCGACCUGCACGAAUGGCGUAAUGAUGGCCAGGCUGUCUCCACCCGAGACUCAGUGAAAUUGAACUCGCUGUGAAGAUGCAGUGUACCCGCGGCAAGACGGAAAGACCCCGUGAACCUUUACUAUAGCUUGACACUGAACAUUGAGCCUUGAUGUGUAGGAUAGGUGGGAGGCUUUGAAGUGUGGACGCCAGUCUGCAUGGAGCCGACCUUGAAAUACCACCCUUUAAUGUUUGAUGUUCUAACGUGGACCCGUAAUCCGGGUUGCGGACAGUGUCUGGUGGGUAGUUUGACUGGGGCGGUCUCCUCCUAAAGAGUAACGGAGGAGCACGAAGGUUGGCUAAUCCUGGUCGGACAUCAGGAGGUUAGUGCAAUGGCAUAAGCCAGCUUGACUGCGAGCGUGACGGCGCGAGCAGGUGCGAAAGCAGGUCAUAGUGAUCCGGUGGUUCUGAAUGGAAGGGCCAUCGCUCAACGGAUAAAAGGUACUCCGGGGAUAACAGGCUGAUACCGCCCAAGAGUUCAUAUCGACGGCGGUGUUUGGCACCUCGAUGUCGGCUCAUCACAUCCUGGGGCUGAAGUAGGUCCCAAGGGUAUGGCUGUUCGCCAUUUAAAGUGGUACGCGAGCUGGGUUUAGAACGUCGUGAGACAGUUCGGUCCCUAUCUGCCGUGGGCGCUGGAGAACUGAGGGGGGCUGCUCCUAGUACGAGAGGACCGGAGUGGACGCAUCACUGGUGUUCGGGUUGUCAUGCCAAUGGCACUGCCCGGUAGCUAAAUGCGGAAGAGAUAAGUGCUGAAAGCAUCUAAGCACGAAACUUGCCCCGAGAUGAGUUCUCCCUGAGACUUAGAGUCUCCUGAAGGAACGUUGAAGACGACGACGUUGAUAGGCCGGGUGUGUAAGCGCAGCGAUGCGUUGAGCUAACCGGUACUAAUGAACCGUGAGGCUUAACCUUACAA
RNAcentral lists this ribosomal RNA (2743 nucleotides) under Salmonella enterica subsp. enterica serovar Typhimurium. Its description in RNAcentral is "partial 23S ribosomal RNA". It matches the Rfam family "Bacterial large subunit ribosomal RNA". Lineage: Bacteria; Pseudomonadati; Pseudomonadota; Gammaproteobacteria; Enterobacterales; Enterobacteriaceae. The record is from RNAcentral.